RNAcentral lists this microRNA precursor (202 nucleotides) under Oryza brachyantha (malo sina). Its description in RNAcentral is "MIR812 microRNA precursor family". It matches the Rfam family "MIR812 microRNA precursor family". Lineage: Eukaryota; Viridiplantae; Streptophyta; Magnoliopsida; Poales; Poaceae. The record is from Rfam by way of RNAcentral.
UUUAUAUGACGCCGUUGACUUUUAGGUCUGCGUUUAACCUUUCGUCUUAUUAAAAAAUAUAUAAUUAUUAAUUAUUUUGUUAUAAUAUGAUUUAUUAUUAUAGGAACUUUAGGUAUGCUUUAUAAUUUCGUAUAUUUAGAUAUAAAUUUUGAAUAAGACGAACGGUUAAACGCAGAUUCAAAAGUCAACGGUGUCAUAUAAA